This 253-nucleotide ribosomal RNA is filed under the name uncultured bacterium. RNAcentral describes it as "partial 16S ribosomal RNA". It matches the Rfam family "Bacterial small subunit ribosomal RNA", at positions 524 to 776 of the family's 1533-position model. The record is from RNAcentral.
UACGGAGGGUGCAAGCGUUAUCCGGAUUUAUUGGGUUUAAAGGGUCCGUAGGCGGACUCGUAAGUCAGUGGUGAAGUCUCAUAGCUUAACUAUGAAACUGCCAAUGAUACUGCGGGUCUUGAGUAAAGUAGAAGUGGCUGGAAUAAGUAGUGUAGCGGUGAAAUGCAUAGAUAUUACUUAGAACACCAAUUGCGAAGGCAGGUCACUAUGUUUUAACUGACGCUGAUGGACGAAAGCGUGGGGAGCGAACAGG